RNAcentral lists this unclassified non-coding RNA (385 nucleotides) under uncultured fungus. RNAcentral describes it as "sequence contains ITS1". The stretch from base 1 to 105 matches the Rfam family "5.8S ribosomal RNA", at positions 50 to 154 of the family's 154-position model. The record is from RNAcentral. Lineage: Eukaryota; Fungi.
GAAAUGCGAUACGUAAUGUGAAUUGCAGAAUUUAGUGAAUCAUCGAAUCUUUGAACGCAUAUUGCACUCUUUGGUAUUCCGAAGAGUAUGCCUGUUUCAGUAUCAGAAGUACUAUCGAAAUCUUUUUUUCGGAUCUGGGUCUCGUGUGUUCUUUCUCUCCGGGGAGAGACUUUUGUUGAGCAUACUGGCCUGAAAUUUAAUCGUGAUCAAGUUCAGGUGAACAUCCAAAGAUCCUUCCAGUAAGGCAUCAUAGUUUGACCGUGGUCAUCUUUUUGCUUUGUGGGUUUCGAGGGUGCUGGGCAAUUUCGCGUAAAAAAUUGCAACGCAAAUUGCAAAACUUUCUCAAUUUGAUCUGAAAUCAGGUAGGAUUACCCGCUGAACUUAA